This 329-nucleotide unclassified non-coding RNA is filed under the name soil metagenome. RNAcentral's name for it is "partial contains 5.8S ribosomal RNA, internal transcribed spacer 2, and large subunit ribosomal RNA". The stretch from base 1 to 120 matches the Rfam family "5.8S ribosomal RNA", at positions 35 to 154 of the family's 154-position model. The record is from RNAcentral.
GAUGAAGAACGCAGCGAAAUGCGAUAAGUAAUGUGAAUUGCAGAAUUCAGUGAAUCAUCGAAUCUUUGAACGCACAUUGUGCCCCCUGGUAUUCCGGGGGGCAUGCCUGUCCGAGCGUCAUUACAACCCUCAAGCUCAGCUUGGUGUUGGGCCCCGCCGCCCCGGCGGGCCCUAAAGUCAGUGGCGGUGCCGUCCGGCUCCGAGCGUAGUAAUUCUUCUCGCUCUGGAGGUCCGGUCGUGUGCUCGCCAGCAACCCCCAAUUUUUUUCAGGUUGACCUCGGAUCAGGUAGGGAUACCCGCUGAACUUAAGCAUAUCAAUAAGCGGAGGA